Molecule: ribosomal RNA, 468 nt
Filed under: uncultured bacterium
Lineage: Bacteria
Description: partial 16S ribosomal RNA
Rfam family: Bacterial small subunit ribosomal RNA
Source: RNAcentral
CUACGGGGGGCAGCAGUGGGGAAUAUUGGACAAUGGGGGAAACCCUGAUCCAGCAAUGCCGCGCGUGUGAAGAAGGCCUGCGGGUUGUAAAGCACUUUCGGUUGGGAGGACUGCUUCUAGCACUAAUAUUGUUGGAAGUUGACGUUACCUUCAGAAGAAGCACCGGCUAACUCCGUGCCAGCAGGGCCGCGGUAAUAGCGGAGGGUGCAAGCGUUAAUCGGAAUUACUGGGCGUAAAGCGCGCGUAGGCGGCUAGAUCAGUCGGGUGUGAAAGCCCCGGGCUUAACCUGGGAACUGCAUCCGAUACUGUCUAGCUUGAGUACAGGAGAGGAGAGUGGAAUUCCACAUGUAGCGGUGAAAUGCGUAGAUAUGUGGAGGAACACCAAUGGCGAAGGCAGCUCUCUGGCCUGAUACUGACGCUGAGGUGCGAAAGCGUGGGGAGCAAACAGGAUUAGAUACCCCUGUAGUC